GCUAACCCUAUUUUUUUUGUAUGUUAUAUAUUGGCCUGGAUUUCUUUAUGAUUAUGGAAAGAAAUCCUGUUAUAAUUUGCAUUGGAUCAAAACAAGUCAAGAGAUCUCCAUCAGUUUUUGAUUCCGAUUAUAUUUUAAAUGCCUUCUGAAAGUCUCUUUUGUUGUGUCUUUAAUUCAAUUAUAUGCUUUAUUUUUUAGGCAAUAGCUUUGACCGAGAGUACAAAAAUGGCAUUUUGUUCCUGAUUCAACAGCAUACACAUUCAUAGGUUAUUUUUAAAGAAUAGAUAUAGGAAUAAAUAGUUCAACUGGUUGUAAGGUGAAUUAGAGUUUUGAAAGGGAGAUU
RNAcentral lists this unclassified non-coding RNA (343 nucleotides) under Hevea brasiliensis (rubber tree). The record is from RNAcentral. Lineage: Eukaryota; Viridiplantae; Streptophyta; Magnoliopsida; Malpighiales; Euphorbiaceae.